Zootermopsis nevadensis is the source of this 4511-nucleotide non-coding RNA. NCBI's taxonomy places the organism in Eukaryota, Metazoa, Arthropoda, Insecta, Blattodea, Termopsidae. The record is from RefSeq and is a predicted model, not a curated record.
AAGAACGCGCACAACUCCCGCCCACAUAACAGAGCGCCGGCCGACCACGCAAUGCAAGCAUGACUGCAGCCUCAUACAUUGUAGACCCGGUAGUAGUAUCUUGGUCACUUGUAAAUAAUUUCAGGAACUAGCCAGUGAUCACUUUUUAUUUUUGUGUCAGAAUUCUUUAAAGAUAACAUUUUUAUGCUAAUAUUUAAGUGUAAAUCAAUUUCUUUCAAUGUGUAGAGUUUAGAUUGUUAUAAAUUAGUUUUUAAACAACUGUGGCAUGGGUAUGAGAUGGAAAACAUCAGCUUGUGAGAAGUACAUUAUCAAGAUCUCAGUCUUUUUCAUACUACCCCAUGAGACUACUUUGUUUACUUUUGUAUGAGAACCAAAUAAGUUGAGGUUGAAUGGUUAGGGUUGUUGCUUUAUUUUUGGGGUGUGUGUGGUAGGUACUGGUUCAGUUUUUAACGUGGAUGCCAGCUGUCUGGACUGAAAUUUAUUAUUUUCAUCAUUUUGUUCAGAAAAAAUUGAUCACAGUCACUUUCUUUCCAUUUCUUCAUUAAUAUCUGUCUUCCGAUUCAGCACUAUCUAACCUUUGAAGUUGAGAAAGUAAUGUUAAAUAAAGUAGGAAACAUGUUUUUCACUUAUUCAAAAUUUUGAUUGCAUCUGCCAGUAAGUUCCCAUUAUUAUCUUUGCCAAAUUAGUCUGAUGUUGAUACCCUUUCUUAGAAUCAUUCAUGCCUCUGUACAGAUCUCUGAUAUUUUUGUCCUUACUGUUUGUAUCAAGCUCAAUAAUUUUGCCUUUCAGAUAUUUCCUUUUCUUAUUCCUAAAGGUUCUGCUAGCUUCAUGUCUCACGUUACAUAGAUUAUCCUUAUUUGUCUUGUUUGGGUGCUGCAGCCAUUGAAAUUUCAUUUGGUUACUUCUAGAUGUUCCAUAUCUAUACAUAUAUUUUAUUUAUAUUUUACUUGUGAUGUUGGGGUAAAAAAAACAGGAUAUAUUACCUGUAAUCUGUAUGGUUGUAAGUCUUAUUUUUAUUUGAUAAUUUGUCAGUCUGUAAAUCUGACACCUGAGUGAAUUGUAUUAAUGUUUUGCCUAACAGGUUUCAAGCUCUUUUUCUGUGUCUGUUAUCUGCGUUCAUUCCCAGACCAUUUCUUUCUGAUAAUUCAUCAGCAUAGCUGAUUGCACAAGUCAAAAGUAUAUUUUUUAUAAUAAUUUUAGGAAUAUGUAUGUUUCAUGAUGGUGGUUGUUGAUCUAUAUUAUAACCACUGCCACUUGUUUAUGGAAAUUUACAAGUAUUCACUAACAACAAACAGCCUGAAAGCCACUACAACUAGGCCUUGCAUGCAUUACACUUGUUUUUGUACAAUUUAGAUAUAAUAAGUAAAGACUCUGUGCUUAAUUAAGAAUUGCAGUGAAGAUAUUGGGGAGUAGAGGUAUAGCUGCAUAUGUUCUUUUGUAGUAUUUAAUAAGUCCCUUUAAAUUAUUUGUUAUUUGGCAUGGCUGUUUGUAUGUUGCAUGCACAUCAGCUAAGCUCACGUUAUGAGUACCAAGAAGAAGAUCGGGACCUUGAAGCACAGAUGCUUGCAAAGGGGCUUCGGCUGACACCUUUGAGGAAAGAAUCGCAUGUGUAAUUCUAUGCUGUGUAAGGGUUUACUUGCCAAGUUGUGAAAUGUAUGUAUUUUUCAUGUCCUAAACAUAAUGCUUAUAUUUUCCUUAAAAAUGAAACCAUAGGAAGUUUCAAGGAUUAUAUAUCCCUUUUUGUGAUAAUGUGCAGCAUGGAUGAAAUGUACCAUGGCAUUGAUGGUUGUUAAAGAUUCUGAAGCCAUAACAUAAUUACAAACAAAGAUAUAAUUAAUUAGUUUUAAAUAGAGGCAGAAAAUAUUGUACUUGAGGAAUACAUACUUCAUUUGUUAUAAGGCUGCAUAUGUGUAUAUGUGUGUGUGUAAGGAUACUGGAUAACACACAAUUCUAAAAAGUUGUGAAACAUAAUGUUGUGUUGUCCUUCAUAUUAUUUUGCUUAUAUUUGUGACAACUGAACAGAAAUGAUGGCUGAGCACACUAAUUCUGCAAUUGUACAAUCACAGAAUUCAGCCAUUUGUUAUAACAAUAGAUUUAAUUUUCAUUACCUAAUGCUACCUACUGUCAUUAUAAUCCAAAUAUAUCUCUCUAUAACAAACUAUUAUGUGAAGCUAUACUUGCAUUACUGCAUUUAUCCUUUUAUCUGUCUUUUUUUUUACCAAGAUUUAAAAUUAAUUCCCAUUGCCUUGUUUUGAUAUGCGCAAAGGGUUAGCUGUCAAAAUGUAUAUUUCAUUAUAUUCAUAAUUCCAGAAAAUGUGAGUUGUAGAACAUGCAUUCAUAUAACAAAAUUAGUAGUUUUACUAUGUGAAAAAUACAGGGUAGUGAGCGUGUGUGUGUUUGAAUGUCUGUUCGCCUGUAACAGUAUUGCAAUAUUUGAUAAUAUUCCAAUUGAAGGUUUUUCACAAUGAUUUUAUGAUUCACAGGUCAUAUGACUGUGCCCAUUAUUUGUGCUUACAGAAAUUCCUACUAACAUUUGUAGAAAUUUUCAUCAGUUUUGAGUCCUGCAGAUAAAUAGUGUCUCAUUCUUGAAUUGGUGUCAGUCAGUCUUGAUAUCUGGCAUAAGAGUAAUUACACUUUAGAGUGAUGAACUGUGAGAAAGACUUGAAUGGUUUGAUGUGGUAAUAUAGAUAAACAGUAGCUGAAUAUUGUUUCAUUGAAUAUGAUCAGCAAAAAAAAUUACAGGUGGAGGAGCAAAAUAUUGCUGUUGGGUUUUCUUGCUUGUAAACCAUCAUUGUCUUUGAAGAGGUUAAUUCAGGUAUUCAGUUUUUUCUCUCUGUUCAAGAAUUUAUGCUGUUCUACAUAAUGUGCAUGGGACUAUUCUUAUCUCUGAAUUGCAAUGUGGUUACUACAUUUUUAUAUAUGUAUAUAUUGACAAUGGAAUGAAUUUAAAUAACUCUUGUAUGGUUCACUGUUGCAUAAUUAAUACAUUUAAUUAUUUUAUUUUAUUUGGAGAAAAAUGUCUCAAUGAACUUAGAAUUUUUAUGACAUUUAAAGUGAAAUUCAACACUCUCAUCACUCAGUGAUCUUUAUUAUAUUUUAUUUGUAACAGUAAAGUCCCAGUGAACCUGCCCAAACUAAUUAUUUUAUUAUACAAUUUACAAAACAGAGAUGUUAACAAACAUUAAUUUGCUGUGUGCCUCUUUUUUUUAGAAAUUAAGCAUUUCUGUAGGAACUUAUACAAUUUCUUUUUCAGUUUUCACUUUUAGUACUUAAUGACAUAAUAUGCUAACAUUUGUAUUUACUACAUAGUGUAAAUUUAUUUAUAGCAAUACCAAGUGUAAAAAUAAUUUUUCUGCUCAGAAGUGGCACUCAUGAAGUAUGUGCUCUAAGAAAGUUGUAUAAUGAAAUAUUGAAAUCAGUAAUAAAAUCUGAUUGUUUUGUUUAUGUUGUGGAUCAUACAUGUAUGAUUUUAAAAGUUGUAUUGAAGAGCAGCUUUGUAUAUUCAUAAUUAAAACAUGCUAGUCCGUUUCAUUUUUUAAUGUGUUAAUUGCAACUCAAUAUUUUUAAUCAGAAACUCUUUAAUUUUUAAUCUGUAAGGUCAUUACAAAGUGCUAUCACAUAAAAGACUUGUAACAAGUGCAAUUACAUCUAUUUUACUUUUCAGUUGUGGUGUACUAAAUGAUACUCAUAUUAUUCAUCUUUUUUAUGACUAGCUGUAGGAACAAGGUCUGAAGAACAAAUAUGUGCCCAUCUGUUGUGAUCUCAGCAUAGCUAUGUUCUGCCUGUGCUGUCUUUUCCCCACUUAUUAUAUUGACACCAAAUAUUAAGUAUGCUUAAGCCAUUAAGUGUGGAGAUUAAAGAAUCACUUACAAAAUAGUUUUUUGUUUAUAUAUUUUUAAUUUCAUGAAAAAGAUAUUUAACAUUUAAACAUGCCACUUUUUGUAUUAUGUCAGGUGUUGUUUUUAUGUACAAGAAGAGUUAGAUCUGCUGAUUUUGUUAUGUCUGGUUAUCAUACUGAUGAUGAUUGUAGUAACUUCGUGGUUAACUCUUCAGUGCCAGCCUUCAUACCUGAUAGACCUCAGUUUUAUCACAUGAUACCAGCCUGUAUACAUGGUGUAGACCAGGUAUGUGGGGUUUAAAUCUCCUGUGUCACAGGGUAGGACACCAUUAAAAUAUCUGCUAUUACUGAAGGGUUAAGGAAGCCAUAGUAAAUCGCAUGUAAAUUUCUCAUUAUCCUGUAUAUAGAAUAUUUGCUUUAUAGACCAGUAUACAUGCCAACACUAUCUAUAGACGUUAUGAACAGCCCAUGCAACAUUCUAACCCAGGAUGUGAUACUUGAAAUUGACCAAAGAUGAUGUCCCAACCAGUUUAUACUUAAAAAUUCUGUAUCUGUUGUAGCACAUCUGUAACGUUUUAUCAGCACUGUAGUUCUAGGAUGCAACAUCUUAACAUAUUUGUAAAUGUAAGUUUUCUGUACCAUAAAAUUAAAUUUUAAAUUCCCUUUCCAUUAA